This 510-nucleotide ribosomal RNA is filed under the name uncultured bacterium. RNAcentral's name for it is "bacterial SSU rRNA". It matches the Rfam family "Bacterial small subunit ribosomal RNA", at positions 36 to 507 of the family's 1533-position model. The record is from RNAcentral.
CUGGCGGCGUGCCUAAUACAUGCAAGUCGAACGCACUCUCGUUUAGAUUGAAGGAGCUUGCUCCUGAUUGAUAAACAUUUGAGUGAGUGGCGGACGGGUGAGUAACACGUGGGUAACCUGCCCUAAAGUGGGGGAUAACAUUUGGAAACAGAUGCUAAUACCGCAUAAACCCAACACCGCAUGGUGUAGGGUUGAAAGAUGGUUUCGGCUAUCACUUUAGGAUGGACCCGCGGUGCAUUAGUUAGUUGGUGAGGUAAAGGCUCACCAAGACCGUGAUGCAUAGCCGACCUGAGAGGUAAUCGGCCACACUGGGACUGAGACACGGCCCAGACUCCUACGGGAGGCAGCAGUAGGGAAUCUUCCACAAUGGACGAAAGUCUGAUGGAGCAACGCCGCGUGAGUGAAGAAGGUUUUCGGAUCGUAAAACUCUGUUGUUGGAGAAGAAUGUAUCUGAUAGUAACUGAUCAGGUAGUGACGGUAUCCAACCAGAAAGCCACGGCUAACUACGUG